GAUGAACGCUGGCGGCGUGCCUAAUACAUGCAAGUCGAGCGAACAGAUGAGGAGCUUGCUCCUCUGACGUUAGCGGCGGACGGGUGAGUAACACGUGGAUAGCCUACCUAUAAGACUGGGAUAACUUCGGGAAACCGGAGCUAAUACCGGAUAAUAUAUUGAACCGCAUGGUUCAAUAGUGAAAGACGGUUUUGCUGUCACUUAUAGAUGGAUCCGCGCCGCAUUAGCUAGUUGGUAAGGUAACGGCUUACCAAGGCAACGAUGCGUAGCCGACCUGAGAGGGUGAUCGGCCACACUGGAACUGAGACACGGUCCAGACUUCUACGGGAGGCAGCAGUAGGGAAUCUUCCGCAAUGGGCGAAAGCCUGACGGAGCAACGCCGCGUGAGUGAUGAAGGUCUUCGGAUCGUAAAACUCUGUUAUUAGGGAAGAACAAAUGUGUAAGUAACUAUGCACGUCUUGACGGUACCUAAUCAGAAAGCCACGGCUAACUACGG
Molecule: ribosomal RNA, 496 nt
Filed under: uncultured bacterium
Lineage: Bacteria
Description: partial 16S ribosomal RNA
Rfam family: Bacterial small subunit ribosomal RNA
Source: RNAcentral